RNAcentral lists this small nuclear RNA (323 nucleotides) under Microtus ochrogaster (prairie vole). Its description in RNAcentral is "7SK RNA (ENSMOCG00000011691.1)". It matches the Rfam family "7SK RNA". From Rfam's summary of the family: 7SK was discovered as an abundant small nuclear RNA in the mid-70s but a possible function has only recently been suggested. Two independent studies have found that 7SK RNA binds the CDK9/cyclin T complex (known as elongation factor P-TEFb). P-TEFb activates transcription by phosphorylating the C-terminal domain of RNA polymerase II. The record is from RNAcentral. Lineage: Eukaryota; Metazoa; Chordata; Mammalia; Rodentia; Cricetidae.
GCAUGGGUCGAUUUCUGUAAAAUGUGUCACCUCACUGAUUGCCAGGAUCAGUUCCACUGAUCUGGCUUGCUAAGUGGCUGUCCCGUUUCUCCCCUCACCACUACUCCAGAUGCACCUUCCCCAGUAUGUGGCCUGAUGCAGAAGGGUAACUUGGCGCAGACGGGAGGCCUUUUGUUGGGUCAAGGAUCUAUGAGUAGGUACAUUCUCGUGCUAGGACCUCCAAACAAGCUCUCAAAGUCCACUUUUAGGAGAACAUAGGGUGGUCACGCUUCCAGGACUCCAAACCCAUCAAAAUGAGGCCCUAUGUGAGGAAGUCUCUCUUU